RNAcentral lists this ribosomal RNA (520 nucleotides) under uncultured bacterium. RNAcentral's name for it is "bacterial SSU rRNA". It matches the Rfam family "Bacterial small subunit ribosomal RNA", at positions 34 to 518 of the family's 1533-position model. The record is from RNAcentral.
CGCUGGCGGCGUGCCUAACACAUGCAAGUCGAACGGAGUAUCAGCUGAAUUUCGGAUGGAAGUUGAAUAUACUUAGUGGCGGACGGGUGAGUAACGCGUGGGCAACCUACCCAUAAGCGGGGGAUAACAGUUGGAAACGGCUGCUAAUACCGCAUAAACUAUAGAGGUUGCAUGACCUUAAUAGUAAAGAUGGCCUCUUAACAAUGCUAUCACUUAUGGAUGGGCCCGCGUCUGAUUAGCUAGUUGGUGGGGUAAAAGCCUACCAAGGCAACGAUCAGUAGCCGGCCUGAGAGGGUGGACGGCCACACUGGGACUGAGACACGGCCCAGACUCCUACGGGAGGCAGCAGUGGGGAAUAUUGCGCAAUGGGGGCAACCCUGACGCAGCGACGCCGCGUGAGCGAAGAAGGCCUUAGGGUCGUAAAGCUCUGUUUUAAGGGACGAAUGUUCAUGUUAGUAACUGAGCAUGGAAUGACGGUACCUUAAGAGGAAGCCCCGGCUAACUACGUGCCAGCAGCCGC